UAGAUUAGAGGGUAUUCUUCCUGUUUUCC
This 29-nucleotide non-coding RNA is filed under the name Mus musculus (house mouse). Lineage: Eukaryota; Metazoa; Chordata; Mammalia; Rodentia; Muridae. The record is from RNAcentral.